This 78-nucleotide small RNA is filed under the name Flavobacterium noncentrifugens. Its description in RNAcentral is "Flavo-1 RNA". It matches the Rfam family "Flavo-1 RNA". Lineage: Bacteria; Pseudomonadati; Bacteroidota; Flavobacteriia; Flavobacteriales; Flavobacteriaceae. The record is from Rfam by way of RNAcentral.
CCCUAGCCCCGAUUGCAGCGAAAAUCCUUUUGCGUAGCGCAGCGAAGGAAAAGAUUGCAGUGGAAAGCGGGAAUAGCU